Camelina sativa (false flax) is the source of this 374-nucleotide non-coding RNA. NCBI's taxonomy places the organism in Eukaryota, Viridiplantae, Streptophyta, Magnoliopsida, Brassicales, Brassicaceae. The record is from RefSeq and is a predicted model, not a curated record.
GCGACAGAGGGUAGGUUUGGCGCCCUGCGCCUAGGCGAGAUUCGCCCCACGCCUUUGGUGUAUGAGGCGCAACUGCACAAACAGACAUAAGGCGCUAAGCGAGAUGAGGCGGGCUCCAUGGCAAGGCGUCCCGAAGCAAGCGCCUUUGGUCUACCGCCUGGCCUCGUCUACUAGAGGCGCUACACCCUUAUAAUCACCUCGCCUCUCGCCCAGGCGCGCCUAGGCGACGCUUUUUUAAACACAGAUAUUCUGACUUUGUUUCAGUCUAAGAUUUUUUUGGUUGUUGUUUUGCAUCUAGUGAAACCAAAGUUAUAUCCAACUCUAUAUCUUUGUGUUGAGUCUGGAUGUAAGUAGUUGUAUACUUGAAUAGGUUU